UCUUUACGGGGCUUCAUUACGCUUACGUUAACCAAUCGAAUGGACUUAAAUCGCCACUAUUAUCGAUUGUGGUGGAAACGCAGACCCAUCAUCAGGUGUGUGGAUGGGCCAGAUGUUUACUUAACUUGUUGCUUACCAUGUAAACAACUUUAGACGGGUUGACCUUUCUUUCUACCAGGAGAAUGUAAUGCUUGUUCCUGCCCAAACUAAAAGGUCGGAGUGCAUCUUAGAAACACGUCCACCAAUAGUUCAAGAAUCAAGAAUCGCGGGAAGUGGUGUCAUUUGGCGCUGCUACUUUAAUAUAUGUUCAAUG
Long non-coding RNA from Drosophila biarmipes, 313 nucleotides. RefSeq lists it as uncharacterized. The transcript is spliced from 2 exons. The record is from RefSeq and is a predicted model, not a curated record. Lineage: Eukaryota; Metazoa; Arthropoda; Insecta; Diptera; Drosophilidae.